This 497-nucleotide ribosomal RNA is filed under the name uncultured bacterium. Its description in RNAcentral is "partial 16S ribosomal RNA". It matches the Rfam family "Bacterial small subunit ribosomal RNA", at positions 28 to 507 of the family's 1533-position model. The record is from RNAcentral.
GACGAACGCUGGCGGCGUGCCUAAUACAUGCAAGUUGAGCGCUGAAGGUUGGUACUUGUACCAACUGGAUGAGCAGCGAACGGGUGAGUAACGCGUGGGGAAUCUGCCUUUGAGCGGGGGACAACAUUUGGAAACGAAUGCUAAUACCGCAUAAAAACUUUAAACACAAGUUUUAAGUUUGAAAGAUGCAAUUGCAUCACUCAAAGAUGAUCCCGCGUUGUAUUAGCUAGUUGGUGAGGUAAAGGCUCACCAAGGCGAUGAUACAUAGCCGACCUGAGAGGGUGAUCGGCCACAUUGGGACUGAGACACGGCCCAAACUCCUACGGGAGGCAGCAGUAGGGAAUCUUCGGCAAUAGACGAAAGUCUGACCGAGCAACGCCGCGUGAGUGAAGAAGGUUUUCGGGUCGUAAAACUCUGUUGGUAGAGAAGAACGUUGGUGAGAGUGGAAAGCUCAUCAAGUGACGGUAACUACCCAGAAAGGGACGGCUAACUACGUG